AACGAACGCUGGCGGCAUGCCUAACACAUGCAAGUCGAACGAGUGCCUUCGGGUGCUAGUGGCGCACGGGUGCGUAACGCGUGGGAAUCUGCCCCUUGGUUCGGAAUAACGGCUGGAAACGGUCGCUAAUACCGGGUGAUGACGAAAGUCCAAAGAUUUAUCGCCAGAGGAUGAGCCCGCGUAGGAUUAGCUAGUUGGUGUGGUAAAGGCGCACCAAGGCGACGAUCCUUAGCUGGUCUGAGAGGAUGAUCAGCCACACUGGGACUGAGACACGGCCCAGACUCCUACGGGAGGCAGCAGUGGGGAAUAUUGGACAAUGGGCGAGAGCCUGAUCCAGCAAUGCCGCGUGAGUGAUGAAGGCCUUAGGGUUGUAAAGCUCUUUUACCCGGGAAGAUAAUGACUGUACCGGGAGAAUAAGCCCCGGCUAACUCCGUGCCAGCAGCCGCCGUAA
This 451-nucleotide ribosomal RNA is filed under the name uncultured bacterium. RNAcentral's name for it is "partial 16S ribosomal RNA". It matches the Rfam family "Bacterial small subunit ribosomal RNA", at positions 29 to 523 of the family's 1533-position model. The record is from RNAcentral.